RNAcentral lists this ribosomal RNA (301 nucleotides) under uncultured bacterium. RNAcentral's name for it is "partial 16S ribosomal RNA". It matches the Rfam family "Bacterial small subunit ribosomal RNA", at positions 509 to 807 of the family's 1533-position model. The record is from RNAcentral.
CAGCCGCCGCGGGAAUACGAAGGGUGCAAGCGUUACUCGGAAUCACUGGGCGUAAAGCGUGUGUAGGUGGUUGUUUAAGUCUGUCGUGAAAGCCCUGGGCUCAACCUGGGAAUUGCGAUGGAUACUGGGCGACUAGAGUGCGGUAGAGGAUAGUGGAAUUUCCGGUGUAGCGGUGAAAUGCGUAGAGAUCGGGAGGAACAUCAGUGGCGAAGGCGGCCAUCUGGGACAACACUGACGCUGAGGCACGAAAGCGUGGGGAGCAAACAGGAUUAGAGACCCGUGUAGUCCCUGUCUCUUAUAC